UCUCCGUUGGUGAACCAGCGGAGGGAUCAUUAUCGAGUUUAUAACUCCCAAACCCUAUGUGAACUUACCACUUGUUGCUUCGGCGCGCGCUUCGGUGCCGCCGAGGGCACUUAAACUCUUUGUUUUUAUAAGCAUUUCUGAGUGGCCGAAAGGCAAAAUACAAAUGAAUCAAAACUUUCAACAACGGAUCUCUUGGUUCUG
This 201-nucleotide unclassified non-coding RNA is filed under the name plant metagenome. RNAcentral describes it as "partial contains small subunit ribosomal RNA, internal transcribed spacer 1, and 5.8S ribosomal RNA". The record is from RNAcentral.